GAUGAACGCUGGCGGCGUGCCUAGUACGUGCAAGUCGAGCGAACAGACGAGGAGCUUGCUCCUCUGACGUUAGCGGCGGACGGGUGAGUAACACGUGGAUAACCUACCUAUAAGACUGGGAUAACUUCGGGAAACCGGAGCUAAUACCGGAUAAUAUAUUGAACCGCAUGGUUCAAUAGUGAAAGACGGUUUUGCUGUCACUUAUAGAUGGAUCCGCGCCGCAUUAGCUAGUUGGUAAGGUAACGGCUUACCAAGGCAACGAUGCGUAGCCGACCUGAGAGGGUGAUCGGCCACACUGGAACUGAGACACGGUCCAGACUCCUACGGGAGGCAGCAGUAGGGAAUCUUCCGCAAUGGGCGAAAGCUUGACGGAGCAACGCCGCGUGAGUGAUGAAGGUCUUCGGAUCGUAAAACUCUGUUAUUAGGGAAGAACAAAUGUGUAAGUAACUAUGCACGUCUUGACGGUACCUAAUCAGAAAGCCACGGCUAACUACGUG
This 497-nucleotide ribosomal RNA is filed under the name uncultured bacterium. RNAcentral's name for it is "partial 16S ribosomal RNA". It matches the Rfam family "Bacterial small subunit ribosomal RNA", at positions 28 to 507 of the family's 1533-position model. The record is from RNAcentral.